UGUCAAGGGAUGAGAAUCGAAACCACGAACUUCCGCUUACCGGGCAGAUGCCAUGACCACUAGGCUACCCUGGAC
Molecule: transfer RNA, 75 nt
Filed under: Cordylochernes scorpioides
Lineage: Eukaryota; Metazoa; Arthropoda; Arachnida; Pseudoscorpiones; Chernetidae
Description: tRNA-Thr
Source: RNAcentral